Molecule: long non-coding RNA, 408 nt
Filed under: Phasianus colchicus (ring-necked pheasant)
Lineage: Eukaryota; Metazoa; Chordata; Aves; Galliformes; Phasianidae
Description: lncRNA (ENSPCLG00000003690.1)
Source: RNAcentral
UCUAAUCACCCACAAAAUCAUGGGGAAAGAGCCUGUUGCUUUCAGAGGAUGAGACACCUGAUCCCCAUGUACUUCAGUCUCAGCUCUUUCAAGAGGAAGAUCUGCCAGAGGAUCCUCUCUGCUUUCUCAACUUCUACUGAAGUAUAACAGUCUUAGAGGGUCUCAACUGCUGAUAGAACAAUGAUAGAAUAAGUGAAUCAUGAAGAAGUACACGCUUAUUAAUAUGCUGCAUAACUGAGAAUGUCAUCCCUGGUAUAUUUAAAUGUCUAAUUAAAGCUUCUGUUCAAACCAUCAUAAGUUAAGAAGCUUAAGUUUGGUAAAAAAAAAAAAAAAAGGAAAUUAUAAACUGAACAUGGUUAAUUUUUGCAUUUGGAAAAUUCCAGUCAAUAAAUCCAGACAACCUCCACA